Molecule: non-coding RNA, 1555 nt
Organism: Oryctolagus cuniculus (rabbit)
Lineage: Eukaryota; Metazoa; Chordata; Mammalia; Lagomorpha; Leporidae
Source: RefSeq, a predicted model, not a curated record
CUUUCAAAUAACUAAAUAAAUCUUUUAAAAAAGCCCUUUAUUCACUUAGUUCAUAAGUUCCACUAUGUUUCAUAGGAAGGUCCUGGGAGUGAGUUUACAGGAUAUACAUGUAGCUUGUAGCUGCUGCCACAACUUAACAUUACGCUUCUUCAGAAUGUAGUAUUUACUGUAUAAUUAUUCCUGCAAAUACUAGCUAUUUACCAGUCGUGGGACAAAAAGAGAUGGAAAUAGACACAGUUAUAAAUGACUGCUAGUCACUAUAGCAACACUACAAAAAUGUUCUAUUUUUGUCCCUGUGAUAAUAAAUUUACUAACAUAUAUGUCUUACAACAUGCAUUAUUUUAAAUAUACAUGAAACAUUUUGAGAUACACCUCCAAAUUUUAUUCUAAGUGUAUUUCCUUAAAUAUAACAUCCAUAACACAUGCCAACCACCCCACGAUAAGGUCACUCAAAAUUAAAUUACCUUCUAUUCCAUACAGCCAGGUCGUCUUUCACAAGGAAAACUACACAGGUAUUUUUCAGUUGCCCCCAACUAAGGUGAUUAUAGAAAUAUUUACAGAAUCGUGUGCUGUUAAGAUUUGAGUUUGGCUGAAAUACACUCGUGACUGUUCCAAACUUUAUGUUUUAAGAAUGAGAAAAUCAAUUAUGCUCUUUCAACACCCAAAUCUCCAUCUUUCUGUUUGUUUACUCUUUGGUGCAAAUAAUUCUAUAAAAGGAGAGAAAGCAAGAUGAUCUUGGGAUCAGUCUCCUGUGCAGCUGAGGUUUUAGGAAAUGUGUAUGAGGAAAUGGAGUUGCAGAGAACAUAGAAUACAUAACUUUCCAACUUUCCAAGGCCCCAUGGAGUCUGAAGGCUGUGAACCCCCAAAAGGAAUACACAAAGAGGAGGUGCUGAGUGGUUCUCAAGUCUGCCCAGUCACUGGCUGCCAGGAAAAUAAGCCGCCUCCUAUGGUUGCUCUACUGUUUUUCCAGGACGGAUGGGCACAUGGAUUUGUCUGCUAAAGCAACACCCAGCACCUAGGCGUCAUCUUCUCUCCAAGGCACAGAAAAUGUAACCCUGAUCAGACUGGGAACAUCUAAUGACUAAGACGGGAAAGUAUCCCAGUGCUGAAGGCAAACACAAGAAACUCUGGGCGCCAGAGGGAAUUUUGUACAUAGAAAAUGCCUGCCAAAGAGCUGGUCACUCCUGUUCUGUCGCUGUUAGACCUCCUGGAGACGUUCACUCUGGAAGGUAAGUGGUGUGCCCGAGAUGAGAUCUAACUGGGUCAACUUCCUCCCCCUUAAAACAUUCCCCAGGAGGUUCAACAAAUAAUGUCAGAGACUCUGGUGCAAUACGAACAGACUUCCUCACUACGCUAAAGGUCACCAACUACAGAAGUACUCUGAACGUCACCAAGCAGAGAAGGCUAGGAACUCUGAGCAGACACAGGAAGAAUUAGCGACGAAUUCAAAUUCACUGAGCCUGGGGUAGGCGGAGACCCAGAACAUGCUAGAAGGCAGGAAGAAACGAGUUUGGGAUAAAAUACACCCAAAGUCAACAGCAUCUUUAUGGAUAAA